RNAcentral lists this non-coding RNA (45 nucleotides) under Schistosoma haematobium. Lineage: Eukaryota; Metazoa; Platyhelminthes; Trematoda; Strigeidida; Schistosomatidae. The record is from RNAcentral.
AUCCAGCUGACGAGUCCUAAAUGGGACGAAACGCGCAUCUUGGAU